Molecule: long non-coding RNA, 1478 nt
Organism: Numida meleagris (helmeted guineafowl)
Lineage: Eukaryota; Metazoa; Chordata; Aves; Galliformes; Numididae
Exons: 4
Source: RefSeq, a predicted model, not a curated record
UUUCACUGGAGAGCCUUACCUAUUUGAGGCCUUCUAAGGCACUGAAGGAAGAGAAUGAUGGUGAGAGGGAGAUGGGAGCAACAGAUAAUGUGGAUUUCUGGUACACAGAGGGGCUUGAAAGAAAUGUUGCCUGGACCCAAGCCAUUGCUACCACAUUCUAUUUCUGAAGUAUCUUUAAGUGGACACAGAGCUUGAAGCUUUACAUCAAAAGCACUGUCAUCAAAACUUGUGCCCUUCCUGGGGAUGUUCCUGCCUGCUGUGGACACAUUGUACUGGAGACUGCUGCAGGACAAUGCAGAGGUGGCUGGCGCACAGCUCUUUGUCCCCUUUGGUUCCUGCAUCUGCCCCUGGUUACUUCCCCCCACCUGUAGCCAGGCAGAUCCCUGCUUUGUCCAGUCUUGCCAAGAAAAUAAUAACACAGCUUCCAAAAACAGAAGUGGGGUUAUUUUUUUCUGUUUUACAGUAAAAAUGAGUGGACUGAAGUGACUCAUACCACUUGACCCUUGUGUCUGCAGCUAUAUGGUCCUUGCAGGACAUCCUUCUGAGCACCACAAGACCAGUGCAAUAUGGGGCCUGUUUUUCUCUCAGACACACUCUUCCUUCUCUCUGUUCCCUGGCCAGCAUGGGCCCCAUUUCUGUUGUCUCCUUGCUCCUGACAGGUCAGUUUUUAACCAGAGAGAUCCCUUGGCUAGGGCAGCUCUGAGCUCCCCAUGUGGCUUCACCAAGGGUAGGGACAUUCCCUGUGGACUGGAUGUGCAAGGUGAGGGACUUGGGGAUGCAGACACGAUGGGGGUGAACAUCCAGUCAGCACAUGGGCUGCAGCCAGCCACCCUCCAUGCCUGGGGAAGGACAGAGCCAGAGGUGUGCUUCUGAGUCACUGCGUUCCCCAGACUCCUCUGGGCCUGGCACAGCUUAAUCACCACUACUUGCCUGGAGCCAAGCCCAGCUGCCUUCCCAGCUGCUGGUGGCACUGUGCCUGUUUUCCCUGGGAAACCCAGGAGGAAACCUACUGCCCUUGUGCUGGAGGAGCAAUGGCUGUGGGCCCAAGCAGGCCACACUUUGAUUCUGGUGAUGUUGGCAUCCGCCUACUGGAAUCUCAGGCUUCACUCAGGAUUAUGCUUCUGUAUGUGAGACUGAGCCCCACCUUGUUGCAUGGACCUUCCCUCGGAGGGGGCACACACAACAGGUGUUGGCAGGGCAGCAGAGGCCUGGCCUGAGCAGCCUGUGAGAGUCCCUUGCAUGGGCUGUGAAAAACCCAUCUCAUCGGGAAACUUGUAGUGAGCUGUGGGAGAACUUGGCACUGGAGACUGGCGUGGAAAAUAUUAACAGCCUGUAAGAAAGUCUGGCUUGUGCUGCUGUGGGGAGAUCAGCAACUGGCAGGGAUACAAUUCAUGAAGGAAACUCCUGAGCUGCUCUGUGAGAGGGCCGCUCUGGAACUGCGCAUUGAGAUGGGAGUUAUUGCAAAACAGCGUACGCUU